GAUAAACACAAACUGAAAGUAAACAGUUGUUUUGAAGACGCAGUUGUCAUUUAGUGAUCUUAAACAUGCUGAAAAUGUCAGAAUGGCAUACAUUUCAGGCUAAAGACGGUUACAUUCAUUUAAAAGGUAUUUUGAAAGCAGACGAUAGAACUAUUUCAGGUUUGGGGAACGAGUAGAUUAUCACAAAAGUUCAUUUCUUGACGACCUCAUAAUUUCACGAUUGUACACAUCGAUUUUAAAUUAGUUUCUGCAUAACACAUGCAAUGGCAGUACCUUUCCAAUUACUAUUUAUGUGUUUCGUCUAAAUUUAAGUUGUAACACUUUAUAGUGACUGAAAAGGGUAGAAAAAUUCAUCAGAUGAGAAAAUGCUGAAGACACCUGGAAACAGCACCAGAUCAUUAUGUAUUGCAUCUAAUACAAAGAAACAAACUGAGAUUUGGAUAGUUCCACUUCAAGGUAAAAAUAUUUAUCUCUUGAAAUGAUAUUAAAAAAAUAUUGUAACACUGUAGUUAAUUAAUAAAGAUAUUAUUACGUGUAUUUCUGUAUUGGCCUUGUUAUUGGUCCUCGGCCAGCUGUAUUGGCCUUCGGCUUCGCUCAGGCCAAUACAGCAAGCCUCGGACCAAUAACAAGGCCAAUACAGAAAUACUUACGUAAUAAUAUCAUAAUAUUGCACUAGU
This 677-nucleotide long non-coding RNA is filed under the name Mytilus galloprovincialis (Mediterranean mussel). The record is from RNAcentral. Lineage: Eukaryota; Metazoa; Mollusca; Bivalvia; Mytilida; Mytilidae.